RNAcentral lists this long non-coding RNA (1066 nucleotides) under Homo sapiens (human). Its description in RNAcentral is "non-protein coding lnc-AVP-2:1". Lineage: Eukaryota; Metazoa; Chordata; Mammalia; Primates; Hominidae. The record is from RNAcentral.
GAAAAACCUGCUUUAUUUUAUUUUCACCAUUUCUGGGGUGGCUAUGGGGGAAGCGAGUGGCGCGCUUCGAGGGUGUUCGGAGCCAUCAAGUUUCAGCGCUGGGAGAAGGUGGCUUCCGCGUCGCAGGCAGGGUCGGCGUGGCAGCCGUCUGGAGGAAGAGGUGGAGUCAGGGGAAUCCCGGCCGCACCCCCGCCCGCCUCCCCCUGGCCCCGGAGCGCCUUGCCCCGCUCACCCGGGCUGCAGCAGAGGCCCAAGACCGCGCAGCGGCCCCCGCUCCCGCACGCCUUCUGGCCGGACUGGCAGGGCGACGGCAGGUAGUUCUCCUCCUGGCAGCGCAGCGCUUCGGCGGUGCCCACGAAGCAGCCCAGCUCUUCCGCGCAGCAGAUAUUGGGCCCGAAGCAGCGGCCUUUGCCCCCGGGGCCGCAGGGGAGGCACUGCGGGGACGGGCGGGGUGAGCGGGAGCCGGGGCGGCGCUGGGGACUCGCUCGGAGGACCCUGCGAGGCCGGCCGGGGUGCGCCGGGCAAGGAUGCUGGGGUCCGGGGUUCGGAGUUCGGGCGGGACAGCGGGGCUGAGACGCGCUGGGGCGCCGUGGGGGCCUCGACCGCGGUCAAGGGCGGGGCGUCAAAAUCCGCUCAGCUCCUGGAGUUCUCAGGCGAGGCCGGAGCGGGGCGCGCCCCUGUGGCUGCGGGUCCCUCCCUCCCCGGAGCGCCGCGGGACCAGGGCUGGGGACUCACCUUGCGCACGUCGAGGUCCGGCGCGGCCCUCUUGCCUCCCAGGGGGCAGUUCUGGAUGUAGCAGGCGGAGGUCAGCGCCAGGAGGCCGAGCAGACAGCAAGCGAGGCUGGGGCCGGCCAUGGUGCGGGUGCGCUGGGUCCAGGGUCCGUGACUGGUGGCGGUCUCUCCGGCCUGGCCUUUUUAUGCCUGGGCAUUGCGUCGGUGGAGCUCUGUUUAAGAGGGAACCCAACCUGUAGGGAACCCAACCUGAGGCAGAAUGGAAGAAAUGAGAAGCACUGUGAGAGACCAGCCUCACUGGUGGGCCAGUCCCCGACCCCUGGGAGAAGAGAAC